CGGCAAACUCCGUGCCAGCAGCCGCGGUAAUACGGAGGGGGCAAGCGUUGUUCGGAAUUAUUGGGCGUAAAGGGCAUGUAGGCGGUUCGGUAAGUUAAAGGUGAAAUGCCAGGGCUUAACCCUGGAGCUGCUUUUAAUACUGCCAGACUAGAGUCCGGGAGAGGAUAGCGGAAUUCCUAGUGUAGAGGUGAAAUUCGUAGAUAUUAGGAGGAACACCAGUGGCGAAGGCGGCUAUCUGGUCCGGUACUGACGCUGAGGUGCGAAAGCGUAGGGAGCAAACAGGAUUAGAUACCCUGGUAGUCCAC
Molecule: ribosomal RNA, 305 nt
Filed under: Anaplasma phagocytophilum
Lineage: Bacteria; Pseudomonadati; Pseudomonadota; Alphaproteobacteria; Rickettsiales; Anaplasmataceae
Description: bacterial SSU rRNA
Rfam family: Bacterial small subunit ribosomal RNA
Source: RNAcentral